CACCCACCUCUGCGCUAUGAAUUGUGGGAUAUAUGGGACCACGAAGCGUGCACCGGACCACGCUUGAUAUUUGGGGAAAUCGACGGCGCAUUUGGAGUAUGCAUUUUAAGUACACUUUGAAUUGGGACAGCCGUCGUCGCGUGGCGGUGACGUAUUCGCACUUGAAAUGCGUACUUCAAGCGUGCAGACCCUGAAUUGGGACACAGCCACUGUGUUGGAAGGAAGAGUGCUACGAACCACACUUAAAAGCAGCUCAAAAGAAAAAGGACGUUAUAGAGACAGAUUGCGACCGGAUGCAAAGAGACGGUACUUGCAAACAAUAGCGUGCAUUGAAAAUGUGGACCCGUAUGAAAUACGGCAGUGGAGUAGAAACCCUGAAGACUAACCGCUAUUGCCUUAGCCUGAUAUAUUCUCGUACCUCGUCUGUGGAGUCAGCGCAUACACGGCGAACCAGUUUCGCAAUUAUAAGUCUCUGGAGGCGCACAUCCAAUUCACCAAUGGUUGGGUAGAAGAUUUGGCUUUUUUUAAGCCUCCACGUUGUGAAUAUGCCGUCAUUCAAACAAAGGUACUGCACUCUCAAAGACUGAAUGAACCAGCAUUGCAGCCAUGGGUCACUGUGAGCAUCACAGGGAAGGUUGAAGCCGCCCACUGCACCUGUAUGGCCGGAGUCGUGAAGACCUGCAGGCAUGUCGCUGAUCUUCUGUUUAAUGUAGAAGCAACAGUGCGGAUCCGUGGCACAAGGACUGUUACAGAUGAACCUGCAUACUGGGUUUUGCUGGGUAAUAUGACCAAGAUACAGCCAUAAGAUGGACUCUUCAGCUGCCCAAAAAAGGCUCUCGAUCAAAACAUAAACAGACCAUCUGUACUAACAGGACAAUUCUGGAGAAGAUGGGCCUGCAGGGGAAAGUCACCCCCUUGCAGGCCAGAAGACAUGAGAUAACUUUAAAGAAUACAAAGAUUGCAAGUAUCCAGGCUCAGGAGAGGGGGUCAGUGGGAAGCCCACUGCUGCUACUUGGCCCUGGUUUGCCCUCAUGGAUGAGGUGAUAGGACAGAGGCCUUCCAUUAAGCCUCCUGUCCUAAUUUCCUCUCUCCCUGAGGACACUCCAGGGCCAAGCACAGCAGUGGGUGACCAAAACGACAGUGAUGACGAAGCGGCUCAGCCACCUACGACAGGAAGGAAGAGGAAAAGAGAUGAUGAGCUGCUAGACCUCAUCAGAGAGGACAUGAGGCAGCAAAGAGAGGCUGAGGAGAGGAGAGCAGGGAGAGGAUGGACAGACUGUUUUCACUUCUAGAAAGAUGUGUUCCAAAAUGAGUUAUAUAUUGAGAAAUUUAUUUAUUUGAAUAUAUUUGUUACAUUGUUACAUGUGUUGCAUUAGUUUAAAGGUUUUAUGUUAUUAAUAAAUUGAUUCAAACAAACAGU
This is a long non-coding RNA of Pelmatolapia mariae (spotted tilapia), 1420 nucleotides long. RefSeq lists it as uncharacterized. The transcript has 4 exons. The record is from RefSeq and is a predicted model, not a curated record. Lineage: Eukaryota; Metazoa; Chordata; Actinopteri; Cichliformes; Cichlidae.